Long non-coding RNA from Oncorhynchus tshawytscha (Chinook salmon), 1241 nucleotides. Lineage: Eukaryota; Metazoa; Chordata; Actinopteri; Salmoniformes; Salmonidae. The record is from Ensembl.
GUUUGAUUUCCUCCCUUCUGUAAUAAGCAGCCAAUUAGUUAUUUUUCCUUUAUUCAUGUGUUUAAUCUGAUACUGUUAUAGCGCCGGCUAAACUGUUUAUGUAUGCACUGCAGAGGCUAAGAAGACGCAUGGAAACUCUAAAAGAAACGUAAUUCAACUUGUAAACCAGAUUUCAAAAGGAAAUAAUGAAUCCCGAAGCUCAGAUGUCAGACACCGAGGCUGCCAGUACCUCUGGGUCGAUAGUCCAUGUGUUGGAUGAUGCACCGCCGUUGAUCAGAACAGACAGCGUAUAUCCACACAGGUCGCACCAACCACUCCCCUUUACUGACCAGUAGGAGAGAAGUGCCCCUUUGAAAUCCUCUUGACCCCCUUGGUCCCACUGGAAGACAAGCCUCCUAUCAAGCAGUGGCACAUGCCCGCAUCCCGUGCCAAGGCUGAGCGGGAAUGGGAGAAUAGCCAACGGGAGCGCAGGAAGAGAGUGAAGCCAAUUCACUGGGACGUUAACUUUAAGUCUGGGCCUUUCUUCCCAGUGUGUGUCACUCCAUCACUGCCCUCGAUCUUGGAGAUGGACGAAGAGUCUCUGUCUGAAGAGAUGGAGCAAAGCCAGUUGUAGGGGGUCGCGCACACACACAUUCAUUUUCAUUUAUAUACCUUUAUUUAAAUAGGCAAGUUAGUUAAGUACAAAUUCUUAUUUACAAUGACGACCUACCCCAGCAAAACCCUAACCCGGACGGCACUGGGCCAAUUGUGUGCCACCCUACAGGACCAGUGCCUUAGACCAAUCGGGAGCGUUAUUGAGACCUCAUGGCCUACCAUGGACCAGAGAGGAUCAGCCAGCAUCAUCCCAGCGUCUGCCCUGCCUGCCAUCCUAGUACCUCCACUGCCCUUUCAACCCCAAACCACAAAGGGCAGGUGACAGAAGUGAUCCAGCGCCCAACGAUCCAGGCUGUUCUGCAUGAGCAGCAGCAGCUACUGUCGGAAGUACUGUUGGAACAGACUUUUCCAAUGAGAUCCAACAGGAGCCACAAGCUUUCAAAGUACUUUCAUCCCUGGGUGUGGAGCUUCUCGAACAAUGUUCUCUUCCUGAAGAUGGACUGCUUAAACCCCUUGGGAGUAUCCAGAGUAUCUAGUACGCUGGUGUGAUGAUAGAAUAUGUCCCUCAUUAUCAACUAGAGAUUAAUAUUAAUCCACUUGUUAUUCUAGUUUGGCAAAUGUUAAUUUAUCAUCAGCAUGUUCCAAAG